Long non-coding RNA from Passer domesticus (house sparrow), 11549 nucleotides. RefSeq lists it as uncharacterized. Lineage: Eukaryota; Metazoa; Chordata; Aves; Passeriformes; Passeridae. The transcript is spliced from 4 exons. The record is from RefSeq and is a predicted model, not a curated record.
ACACGCACACACACACCCACCAGUGAAGUAAGAUCUUUCACAUCACUUGCUUUUGUUUCUCUGUUGUUGUCCACACUAUUGACUCAUUCCUGUUGCGUGGCCGAGAAAAAAAACCUAUCACAUUGUCAUGGUUUAACAUAGCUUGGUUUUUAGUUAAAGAGAAAAUCUAUCAAUUAGGAAGUGAUUCUCGGUGAGGGCUGCUAACAGCUUCCUCCGGAUCCAACAGAACCAAUCAGCUGGCUGGUUCUGAAUAUUGACACAUGGUUAAACCACUUAAGAAAGCUGAACACACCUCUGUGAAGGCACAUGUGAAAAUGAACAAACCCUGGGAAGCUCUCUUGCCUCCAGCCUUUGGCCAGCACCCCACGUGAAGAGAAGGCUGGGUGGCGCCGGCAGCCGGAGCGACUCGCACAGUGUCGGUGCAGAUCACAGCGAGCGAUUUCCCCUGGAUGAGAUCAACCUUUCAGCGGAACUCUGUAAAAACUGUUUCAAUUGAUAAAGCUUGAGAACAAAUGAAUCUACCAACACCAAUUCUCUCCUGAAUCAGGAGAAAGGAAAGAGUGAAGACACGUAAAGAAAACAACAUGAGACACUGUCCUGUGGUGACUGCUGUCAGUAAAUAAUGCUAGUGGAUGCACUAGCAUCAGCGCUAGACCCACUACACACACAUGGCAUGUCAACAACAGCUCUUCCAAUUUGCAGGGAAUUCCAACAUUUUCAGCAUGGGUUUGUUGCAAUUCAAAGAAAAAUAGGCUUUCAAGAGUUCUCAAAGAACAGAAAUUCUCUAAAAAGAGCUUUCAUAAAUGCCAACAUCAAGAAUAAUGAAUAAGGGUGGCUGGGAUAGAUUUCAGCAGUUGCUGAUGGAUUUCAUAAUCUUCUUGCUUUGGUCAUGUAACAGUGAUGCAGCUCUGCACUCUCUCAUAACAAGACUUGUUACAAAAAAUUAUUCAAUUUAAAUUCCUAUUCACACUCAUGUGCUCACUCACAAAUCACAGAAUCACAGACUGGUUUGAGUUGGAAUUACCUUAAAGCUCUUCUAGUUCCACCCUCUGCCAUGGGCAGCAAUACCAGGUUGCUCCAAGCCUUUUUCAACCCAGUCUUGAACACUUCCAGGGAUGGGGCAACCACAGCUUCUUAAUUAAUUAAAUAAUUAAUUUAAUUAUCUGUAUCUGAGGAGCUAAUAAAUAUGUCCCUAGAAGUAUAUUAAAGCAUAUGAAUCAUCUGUCCAAGGGCCACAUACUGAAAAUCUGUAGAACUAGAACCAAAUAUUUAUUCCCUCUAGAGAGGGAAGGCAACAAAGCACAGAAAAUUCUUUCAUUCUUUAAUCUGUUCGGUGCUUGAGCACCUCCUUCUUAGCCAUGCUUCACUUCCAUACAAUGGAAAUCAAACUGCUGGGCACUAUAAGCAGCAGCACAGGCCUGUUACUUCCUGACAAGGAACUCAGCAAAGCCAUGGACCAAUAUCUUGUGCUCUCCUCAGGUUUCGGUGUUUACCAGGUGGCUCACACAGCAGGUAUGUAAACAUGGAUUAAUCCAUUAGACGAGAAUGUAUACAAAUAAAUGAGUCUAUGUCACUAAUUUUCCCUUAAACUUGGCAUGUAAAUGUCACCAUGGUCACAGCAAAAAUGUCCAGAGAACUGCCCAGGCCUGCAGAAUAUCAACAUCAUAUAAUGAGAUCAGAGUUAAACUCUGCCUUCUAGAAUAAACACUUUAAAUUCUUUUUUUCAUGUGUAAGCAAAGUUUCGUAGGCUUCUUCACUUCUAUAAACAUUCAUGGCAGCUCUAAAUACUCUCACCUGGCAAUUUCUAAUUCAGUAACACCACUUACAAGAGAACAUUCAUCCAAAUACCAUCUUGAUUAUUUGACAGGGUUAAUAGCCGGGUGAGAAGCUGAAGACACAGCAGCUGAAGCUGAAGCAGUAGCUGGAGCUGAAGCUCCCCCAGUACAAUGAGAAAGCAGAAAUUCAAGUAUCACAAUGUGCUUUUAGGUCUAAAGAAAGAAGGAAAUCUCUGCCUUGAGACAUUUUCUCUGUUCAAAACUGAAAGCAAGUUCUUAUAAAAAUAGGAAGUCUGGUCUGGGGAUGUGGAAGUUCACGGCAGCCUGGUCUACACUGAGGUCCAGACUGAGGAGGGAGAACACAGAGCUGAGAGCAGGGACAGUCUGCCAAGAAAGGGACUGCGACAUAUGGCCCAGGCAUGCUGGGGUGCCAUCAGGAAAGACACAGCUCAAUGGACUGGGUCAAGGGCGGCAAGAAGAGUUUCUAAACCUACAUGGACAGUAUAGCUGGACAAGGAAAAUGUGUCUGAGUGGGGCAGAGAAUUUAGUGACUGUUGAUGCAGGUGGGAAUGAGGGACUCUGUCUACUUUGCAUCACUGUUGUGGAAGGUCUCCAGAGCUUAGAGAUGGGGCUCAAGGAGGAGAAGAUCCACCAGUGCUGGAAGGGAAUUGACUCAGCAUCUCUCAAGGAGCCUUCUCCCUUAAAGUCCAUGGGAUCUGAUGGGUGGCAUCCACUGGUGACCAGAGUGCUGGCUGGAGUCCUUGCAAGACCUGCCCAUCACCUCUGAAAGGUCAUGGAGAUCAGGGAAGGGCCCAGGAGAUGGACAAGGCAAAUGUUGUUCCUAGGGUCUGUUCACUGCAAAAAGAUAAAGGAGGGUGGGGAAAGUAAAUUGUAUCACCGAGUCCCAGAAAAGUUUGGGCUGGAAGGGACCUUAAAAAACUCAUGCAGUUCUACCCCUGCCAUGGGCAGGGACACCUCCUACUAUCCCAGGUUGCUCCAAGCCCUGUCCAGCCUGGCCUUGGAUGCUGCCAGGAAUCUAGGGGCAGACACAGCUUCUCUGAGCAUCUGGUGCCAGGGCACCACCCUCACACGGAACAAUUCCUUACACGUAUUGAACCUAAAUUUCCCCUCAGUCAAUUUGAACAUACUCAAAGAUUCAAACAGACCUGAAACUUCUCUCCCUAUUUCACAAUUUUCUUAAGCAAUGACAGCACUGUAAAAAGUUGCAAUGAGAAGAAUGAAUUUUACUUUAAUUUCGUUGCCUUCAGCAAUUGCAUGUUAUGUUGCAAUUCAUUUUACUCUGUAAUGCUUCCUGUUACAGUAGCUGGUGUAAAUCAACCCCAUUUUGUUUAUAACAUGCAUAAAAACAUUCUUUAUACAUAGUAAUUCCCCAAGCAGCAUUGAAAACAGGUGGAUUUCAUUUAAUCCCUUGACCAGUCACUGACGACAAUUAAACCGGCUAUAAAAAAAAGUAAAUAAAAAUACUUUGGCCAUCCAUGGUUUAUGGAAUCUGUUUUCUUUUACAGCCUGCCUGGGGCAAGGGGAAAAAUAUUUAAUUCAAGUGAUUUUCCUUUAAGGCUUUAGCAAGGACAAUAGGAAUUAUGCAAUGCAGCCUAUGAAUGUGCAGCCUCCUUAAAACAAACUGUGCAGAAUUUUGAAAAGAAACAUAGAGGGGAAAAGGAGUGUUGUCUCAAGAAGGAAAAGCUCCUAUAAUUCCUACUCCCUGGUACAGAGAGAAAAGUCAUGUCCAUAAAGCAGAUCCUCUUCUCACCUCAACUCCCAACCACCUGUGAGCUCACUGGGGCCUGGCUAGAAUUGUCUGUGGUGGGGUUUCUUGCUAUUGCUGGUCAAGCACAGAACAUUCUAGUGCAGUUUUAGUUUUGUUGGAAUAUAUUCACUCUGCCUAAGAGACAAGCAGAGUAACAGCAGUGCAUUUGAGGCCCAGACCUCAGAUGGGUUUGAGGCUCCCCAGGCUGAGCAGGAUUAUCAGCUCAGGAAUUGAUUAGGAUCAGGCAUUACAGUGGCCAUUUGGACAUGAGGGCUGACCCUCACUGCUCAUUCCAGGCAGGAGGAAGGUACAAUGUGCUCCCAGGGCCAGUUCUAUCUAUGGAGGCUCUCAAGAGCCAGCUGCUGCCAGCCCUGAGUGACCUGGUCUGACCAAGAGCUGACGUGCUUUGAGGAGGGUUGGACGGGGACCUCCUGAGGUCACCUCCAGGCCAAGUGAUCCUGUGACCCCAUGGCACAGACAGGGUACCCUGUGUGCAUCCAUCACUCAGCCCUCACAGUGUGUCACCAAUCUUUGACACAACUGACUUCCUGCACUUGUGCAAAGCCAUUUCCCCGCAGGAUAUAUGAUCCAGGAGCAGGAUCCUCGGGCUGACCACACCAGGAGCUUCCUCACACUUACACAACCGGUGACUUACGAGGAGUUACGCACCAUCCAUCCUUUCAGCUUCCACGAAUGCAACACCGGUUUUCGUGGAUUUACAGCCCUUUCUCAUGACCAAACGUGGUCACUGGUUGCAUGUGUUAACCUAUGCUGCAAUACCCAGUGCUGGUCACACAGUUAUUAGUGGUCUGUUAAUUGUGCAUCCAUUUUCUGUGCAAUUGAGGGAAAAAAUAGCUGUAUAAAGGUCAGAUCCUACUUUUCAGCUCCGAUCCAAACAGUGACCCAUAUUUCCAUUGCUAUAACUAGCUUUGUACAUGAACAGGAUCUGGGAAACCCUUAAAGCCCAUGGAGGCCCAUGGAGGAAAAAAAAAAAAAAAAAAAGCUGAAACUGUAAUCCAAAAAAUUCCUCCAGUCUCUAAGAGUAGAAGAGCAGCCCCAUGUUGACCAUUUCCAAAGGUCCCAUGGCAGGGACCUGGUCUCAACAUGUCCAAUGAUAACUUCCAGGUUGCUCUGCUCCUUUAGCCCUUGUGAUUUGCUGACAGACACUGGCUUUGCUAUAGCUAAAUCCAUGGAGAGAAAAGUCAAUGCUUUGGUUCAAUGCUUGAGGAAUUCUCAUCUUCUGCACACCAUGCUAAACUCUCACACUCGUAUGUAGAUACCUGACAGCAGCAUGAGAGGGAAGGAAUUGCAGUCACUGGAUUCCUGCAGCAAUGGCUGUGUGGAAAGUUCAUAUGUCCACCUCAGCAGCAAACAGCAGAGGCAUUUCUGACCAACAGAAGCAAAAGCCUGGAGAAAUCUGCCCCAAAGAGUGACGUGGGUGUCUGAGACAUCAGGUUGGCUCCAGCAGGUGUUGGAAAAGUGUUUGCACUUGCUGAGCUCCCUCACCCACUGCAGACACAUUUUGUGAGGGGCUGCCCACACUACACCCACAAGUAACGUGGGGGCCCAGAAACUCUUGCAUCCUUUUUCUUUGCUAGGAAAGGCUCCCUUGAGCGAGGUUGUAGGCUCAGAACAGACAGACCAGAAGAACUUGAUGAAACUUGAUUCCAGCUCCACCACGGCUCACGAGCUCUCAUAUCAAGCCUACAUGGGGUUCUUAUCAAGCUCAAGUUACUCAGGAGAACAAGCUGUUCACUGAACUGCAGGUUAUGGGAAGCAACAGCAAAUAUCUGCCCAUUUCCUGUGUCUGGGACCGUGGGACAGGCAAGGGAAAGCUUCCCAAAAUCACCCAGCUGAUGGAGAUUUUAGUGGGAUUUUAGAAGAAGAGCGGAAGCUCCACUCAUCAUCCCUGCUCUCUUCAAACAGGAGUUAAAGCAUCCAUGUCUAACAAGCAGGGAGGCCUCCAGGAGGGAAUCCUAGAGGGAUCCUAGCAGAAAAAGCCACACACUAACAUGGGACAUUGGGAGAUUCACCUGGAGAGCUGUUUCUGACACAAAUCCUCAGAUCAAUCUCCUACAGGACCCUUGAAGUUGAAAUUAUCACAUAUUUCCUGGAAAAGUGACCACCAAGACAUGUUACAAAGGUUAUUUGGUGGGUGAGACUUCCCUGAAAAAUCUCCUUUACCUUGUCUUUGAGAGAUCACCAAGGUAAAGCAUGUCCCAAGGACAAGCCUGCUGGACACCUCUGGCAUGGCUGAGCUGAACAGACAGUGACCCUAUGGCCCAGCUGGCCACAGCAGGAGCUGCUGUGCUGAGACCCUGGAUGCACCCUGGAAAUUUUCCAUGCUUCAGAGAAUCAUCCCCAAAGGCUGAUGCAGCUGAAGUGGUGCUUUUUGUGCAUCAAUCAAAAAGCCUUUGGCAUUAGCUUGCUGAAAUUUACCAAGAGGAGAUGUGCUGAUCCCUUUCCUCUCCCACUGGAAACGGGAAUCUCCAAACUGCUCAUCCCUUUGUACGGGCAGCACAGGAACAGUCCUUUCUGGGAACAUGAAGUUCCUCCCUUUUGUCCCUAAUUUGCAAGCACUUUUCACAGGAGAAAAAUUCUUGCACAUGACUGUCACCACAAAACCUCAUGUAAGAUAGUGAUGUCACAAUCCUCAAGUGUAACCCCAAACUCCUGUAAGUUUGCUGUAAAUACUAUGGUCUGGACAUGGAUACACCUUGGCUGACGUGUUGUCAAGGAGAAGGGGAAAACCAUUGUCUGCAAGUGGAGGAUAAUUGUUGGGAACUGCUGCAGUUCAUGCAAAUCUUUUCCAAUAAGAAGAAGGUCCCUUUAUAAGAAAGGUCAUUAGAAACAUUCACUGAGGCUGAAUUCUGAAACAGAAGUUAUGCUGUGGUGUGAUGUUUGGGCUGCUGCCCUCCUGGUAACUUCGGAUUUAAAACUAGAUUGAGAACAUUUCAAAAUCAAGAUGUGAUCUCCAUGAGCUGUGUGUGCUGAGGGAAAGACUGCAGUGCUUCUGAGACAUGCAGCCUGUUAAUCCAGACAGGAGUGUCCAGCUGUCCCAAUGGCACCUCCUCAGCCCUGCAUUGUUCAACCUGUCCUGGAUUUACACAGUGACUCAAAGUGGCUUCUGGGAUGCAGAAAAAUGGGGAAAGGUCAAAAGAUCCCAUCCCUGAGUGGUCUUUCCUGACUCAGCCUGGAAAAUCCUCAAAUCCGCAAGGUUGUCUAGGUGGGGAGAGCAUGGAAAAGGCUUGUGGGACAUGAAACACAUGUCACACCUGCAUGGACACUGACUGGUCACACACCACACAGCUUCCAAAUCCAUACAAAGCUCCCUGCACUGUCACUGUCUCACACCUUCAUUGUCCAAAUCCAUUCAAAGCUCCCUGCACCAAAAUUCCAGGGGCUCUCUGAUCCCUGGUCUUGGAAAGCCACAGAGGGGAACAAGACCACACAAUUAUUUUCAGGCACCACCAUGAGCUCUCUUCUGGCAGCUGGACAGCCUGACUGGCCCAGUUCUGGCUCUUGUCCAAGAACUGGGCACUCUGACCUGUCCAGUUCUGGCUCUCUUCUGAGAACUGGACACCCAGCUGGUCAGACUGGAAGGCAGGAUGGUUCCAGUCAUCACCAAGACAGCUUUCCCAAAACCUGCUCUGGUCAGUGGGAUUCCCAGUGGCUCCCUCUCCCAAGGGCAGGUAACCAGGCGGGUUUAUACCAAAAACCCUGACUGCUUUAGCCAUGAGUCCCUCAGAACUGACAUAUUUUCCUGAAUUCUUUUGGGUAUGAGGAGCUCAACAUCAUGUCUCCCUUCUCCAUUAUGGAUUUCUUUGGUCAGGAUCAUCAUGGAUGCCUUCCUUGUUUCUUCAAUUGCAGUCUUCAAAAAUUUUCUAGGUUUUCUUCCAAAUCUGACAGUGAACAUGCCACUUCUGCAGAUCUAGAUAAAAGGGUUUGUUUCCACAACUGCCUUGUGCUGAAUGAAAACCAGAAUCAGAGAGGAGGGAGCUGCAUGCCCUGUGAUAGGAAAUCUGUGUUGAACAGCUCUGCAGAAUCCAAAAGCAGCUGGGAACAGCCCAACUUGUAUUCCUGAUGGAUAAGGAAGAAGAGAAAACAGGAUGUGGUUUCUUCUCAAAUCCUCUCAGAAGAUACCAACUUUUAAAAACAUAACUCAGAACACAGACACUAAGGAAAACAUGCAAAAGCCCCAGGAAAUUUAAAGAAAACCCCAAAGAAACAAACAUACAAAGGAUUAACUUUUUUCUUAAUGAAACAAUUGAUUAGAAAGUUGUGUGUAACAUUCCUGCUCUAUCUGACUAUGCCUGACUCACAGGCACUGAAAUUUAUGGAGCAUUAAGAUCUGCCUGCCCUCAGAAAAGUGAAAGAGAGAGGUUUGCUUCACUGCUUAUCAUGUAUUUGAAUAAAAAAUACAUAUAUGGAAUAACCCUCGGUGCCAGCAGGUGCCAAAAUGCUCCUUAAUAUGACCUGAAAUCUGUCAUGGGAAAGCAGCAAACAAAUGUGAACUAUAACCUCCUUUAUUUACCUGUCACCUUUCCUUCUGUAACUCAGGGCAGGGUUAAGCUUCUCACCUGUAUUUAUUUAACAAGCUGGAUGGAUGUAAAUCUGACCAAGAAGUGAUGUAACCCAGGUCAAAAAAUAUUUGUACUGAUAGAUAAUUUUACAUUUUACACCCAUAAUCAUAACUUCAAUCCAGUAAAGCUAAACCAUGCCAAAAGCCAACAUCAAAACCCAAUUUUGCAGCCUGGUCAGUGCUGUAUCUCUACUUUCCUUUUCCUGGGAUUUUAGAGAGUUCUGGAAGCAAGUAAUUGUAAAAUUAUGUACAAAUUAUUUAAGUCUCAUUCAACUUCAAAGUGACAAUAAAAAAACAGCAGGGAGGAAAAUUACAGGUCAUCUCCUUCUAGAAAUUUUCCAUCACAUGUAACAGUUUUAGGAUUAUCUUGUUGCAAAAUAGAAGUUUGGGAUUUUUCUUAAUGAAACCACUUUUUUCUACCGUUGUGCUGACAUCUUCUGUUUCCUGAGAGUGAUUUUACCAAUUAAACCAAGGGGUAAAAUGAUGGGGGAUAGAGGAGCAAGGAAGAUGCUGAAACAGGCACAAGGAACAUGAGAAAUUUCCAAUUAUUUAAUAUAAUUGGAAGACGAUUUCUUUUUUAAAUCCACAAUUUAUCCUUAAAUAUUUCCAGCUAGCCUAAUAAUAACUUCAGACCAAUAAAUCAGUUUCCUCUCCUAGAAAAUCUGAGGUCAAGCACCAUUUGCCAUUUUAUAUUUCCCUGAUAUCCCUAACUUUACACAGAAGAGUUUAGACAAAAGAAAAAUGAAAGUUCAUGAAAUAUGCAGCACACAGAAGGAGGAAACUAUUUUGCAAUGCUCAUCAAAUUAAGUACCUUAAUAACAUGCACAGAAGAGAAAAUUUGGGAGCUGGAAAUGCACUUUAGAGUUUCAAACUGUUAUACUUUAAGUUUCUGUUUUACUUGGGGGAUUCUACUCCCCCUCCCCCAAGCUGAAGGUAGAAGUUAUGGAGUCUGCUUUAUUUGUGGUUUUGGGUUAAUUUUGAAGUGAGUACUUAAAUAUAAUUAUGGACCAAAACAAGCUGGUGCAAGAGGAGCUGACUUGGGUAGAUCCAGAAAUAGAUUUUACUUUUAUUUUCUGUAGCUACCAGGACAGUGGAAUCCAACCCACUCAACCUGACUUUAAAAAAAGCACACAAAGGAAAAGUAAAAAACCAAAGCUUCAAACUGUUGAGCUGCCUCAGUGUGAUCUAGAGCAGGGCUAUGGAAGCAAGCUGUUUUUCUUGUACAGGUGCAGAAGCUUUGGGGUUUGAGAAUACAGGAAAACCUGUCCAAGCCCUAUUAAAAAUACAAUCACUAUAGAAACGCAAGAUAUACCAACCUUACAAAGUUCAGACUUACUGAUUUGGUGGUAAUUCAAUGGCUUGGCUUCCCAGCUACCAGGGAAACACAUGCUUUGCAGUCACAUGAGACAGUCCCUGCAUCCCUGUCAAAUGGAAAAAGGACCUUCCCUCACUCCCACAGCCCCACCAAAAGUACCUGAAACUUUGUAUUUUUCCCCAUAAAAACUUAUUCCAUUUUUAUUUCUAGCCUGUGAUUGCACACUCCACCUGCAACACACAUCCAGGGAGCUAGCAUAGGUGUGAUCCACGUGCUGGGAAUGCAGAGCCAUAGAAUGGGACAGAGCUGGUGGCAUGAGCUGCACGUGGGGCAGCUGUUUUUGUUCCAGUGAGCCAAGUUUAGUUAUUCCAGGCUGCCUUAAAUCAAUGAAAGUGCAGCUCUGUAACCGCUGCCUGAGAGAGGCUUUGCAGAGACCUCAGAUCAACUCCCUGGCAGCAGAAGUGGCACCUGGAGAUACCAAACACAUGGAAGGAACGUACUCAGCAAAUACUGUGGGUGUGAGUCAGCUCCCCAGACCUUAUCAGUGCCAAAGUUCACCAGUGUGGUCAGCCAGGCUCCCCAUCCCUGGGCUGCAGAUGAGGGAUGGAUGUGCUCACAGGUGAUUCACCCCACACACUGACAGAUGUUCAUGAUGUGUGGUACCAGCCCCAUUUAGACAAGACUCUCAGAUAGCUAAAUAUAGACUAAAUUCAUUCUCUCCAACCGUGAUCUCACCCCAGACCUGUGAAGUCUUGCCCCUCUGAUGUACAGAUAUUGGCAUUCCAGCAUCACUGAACAGCCUGUUCAAAACCCAGGGUUAAUUCCAUUUGUUACUAGUGGUGGAUUAAUCAUCCUCAAGAUUUCUGAGGCAAAUACCAAAUUCCCCUUUUCUACACCAGCAUGCAUCAGCUGUUGUUGAUUUCCAGCAAUACUGGCCAUCUAAAUGACUCCAAAUUAAGAUCUCUAGGAAGCAUAAAAUUUACUCAGUUCUGCAAUUAUCACAUCUGUUUAAAUUGCCCAAAUAUACAAGCUGGGCCACAUAGGACCCACCAUUGCCUUCCUCUGAUCAAAAAGCUCCUGAAGAAGCAGAUCCUUUUCAAGACCAAAGCUGGGUGAAUAAUUUCCCCUCAGUUCCUGGACCAGAAAACAGUGAUAAGGGUACAGUAUUCUCCUCAUUAUCUCAGUAAUCAAAAUAUCCUAUUUUGUGAAAUAGGAUAUUUGUGAAUCCAACUGUAAAUGGUUCAUUUCAAUGAAUUGCUCUAAAGCCCACCACGGGUCACAACUGAGGAUCCCCUUCAAAAUGAAAAAGAAGAGGAACAACUUGGGGUGGGAGGACAUUUUAUCAUUUCCUAGUCUGUAUCUGAAAAUAAUGUCUUUUCCAAAGGCUCAAGGUUUUCAUGGGAGAGAAGGGCUGAGUUUCUAAUCUCAUAGACACUUAGAUGUGCAAAUGGAUGAGGAGCUCCAGCUCAGCCAGGCACUCCUCUGGUACCCACUGCUUGAGGGGAUGUGAGGGAUCACUUUACUUCAUUAUAAAAUUUAAUUUCUUCAGGAUUUAGCAGAGCACCAAGAAGACACCAGAGCUUGGUUUUUGUUUUAGUCACUGCCUGCUUUAGAGGAGGCCUCUGAGGAGAUGAAAGCAAGUCUCCAGUGAGAAGUGACAGAGUUCUUUCUUUCAGUUCCUUUGGGACCCAUUGCCAAGUUUCAUGUUUGUGGUAGGAAAUGCUGCUGAGGGGAGAGGGGCCUGUUGAGCAGAGGCUCCUGCAAACUGACACAAAAGGAGAGUGGUUCCCCCUACUAAAGGCUGAUUCCUGGCAGUGAGGGGAUGAACUGCAGUGCCACACGCAGAAAACCAGGACUAAACCUCUUCUUACAUGGCUUACACCUAUCCCUUCCAUCCUGAGCUGUCCAGCAGGAUUUUUGGAUGUGAGGACACCUCACAUUUUUUGAUGUGUGUCACCAGGAAGCACCAGCUGAGAGCUGAGCCCAGGCCACGACACCGAGAAAGGCAGAGCCAUGUAUGGGAUGCAGGAAGGAUGGCACUGGCAAUUGCCAGGACAGCACUGGCAGCUCCUGCCCCUCCCUGGGUGCAGCUGGGGCAAACACAGAGCU